Long non-coding RNA from Fundulus heteroclitus (mummichog), 1053 nucleotides. RefSeq lists it as uncharacterized. The record is from RefSeq and is a predicted model, not a curated record. The transcript has 3 exons. Lineage: Eukaryota; Metazoa; Chordata; Actinopteri; Cyprinodontiformes; Fundulidae.
UGACCCGGAACAUCCAUCUGUCUUUGGCUCGGAUAGUGACAUUGCAGCUCUUCUGCUGUUGCUGCAUCUGCUGCCCCCCACAUCUAGAGGCCACAAAAAACAGCAAAGAUUAGCUCUGCACAGGCAGCCAAUCAUCUCCUAAGAUUUGUCAAGGAAGGAGUCAGCCUUACUACUUUCCUGAAGCAAGUGGACACCAGACAACCAUUCCUUCUCUGAAUUGGUGAGCAAAAGAAGAACAUUCAGAGGUUAUUCAUUGUUGUGGAUCAGAGAGCUAUCCCCUGUGAUGCUCCAACAUCAGUGGCUGCUUUUGAUGGGCUACUCAAAGCACACUUUGUCUUCAGCCUGUCAUAUGACGAGGCUCUUUGCAGUUUUUACACAUUUAGUUUUUACACAAAACUAUUGAUUCCAAAGAUUUGAAUAUGGUCCUUUAAAAUCAAGAGCAGCCAAUGGCCUGGAAGGUGGAGAUCCACUUUCUAACACCUUCAGUCUGGAUUCAUGCUGAAAUAUUUUAACUACAAACUGGGUACAAAAUUAUGGCACUAAAUACCAGGUUGGACUGUAUUUAUGUACUGCAAUGUUCAAUGAUCUACCUGUGUUUAAUAAAAUUUGCCAUAUUAUAAUUCAUUAACAGCAGGCAUUCAUAAUAGGCUGUACUGCCAACACUCUGUACUUUGAUGAACACUUUCAUGCAUGCUGUAUUGAAGAAAACAAUUGUGAGCAUGUUAUUACUUGCAUUGACAAGCUCACCUAUGUCAGACCUUUUGAUAGGCAAUAUUCUAAUAAAAGGGAGAACAUGUAUAUUGUUCCACAUUGUUACAUGUUUUGAAAAAUAUUUUCUAAUUGUGGUGCACUUUUGAAAUAAAUAUUUGCUGAGAAAAACUAACAUCGCUUCUUUAUUUAUUUAUUUUUCUCAAGGGAUAUUUAUAUGUUCAGAAAAGUAAGAUUUUCAGCAUUUGGUAUUACAGAAUAACUCUUAAGUAGUUAGGAAAACAUUCCAUGAGAGUGUUAAUAUUCCAAUUCUAACACCUAGUUGGUGUAAUUAAGUGUUACAUU